RNAcentral lists this unclassified non-coding RNA (200 nucleotides) under Hevea brasiliensis (rubber tree). The record is from RNAcentral. Lineage: Eukaryota; Viridiplantae; Streptophyta; Magnoliopsida; Malpighiales; Euphorbiaceae.
AUCAUUUUCUUCAUAUUUUCACUUCACUGUCCCUUCAUUAAACUUUGGUGGGUCUAGAUCAAACAAACACCAACAUGAGUUAAAGCCAAUUCAUUCACGGCCUUUUAGAUGGGGUAGUAAAGGUUUGAAACAGGAAGAUGAACACUCAGUUAGAUAUCAUGAAUGCAACACAGUUUCUGAGGAUGAGAACUUAAAAAAUU